UACGUAGGUGGCAAGCGUUGUCCGGAAUUACUGGGCGUAAAGGGCGUGUAGGCGGGCUAUUAAGUCAGAUGUGAAAUAUCCGGGCUCAACCUGGAGGGUGCAUCUGAUACUGGAAGCCUUGAGUGCAGGAGAGGACAGUGGAAUUCCUAGUGUAGCGGUGAAAUGCGUAGAUAUUAGGAGGAACACCAGUGGCGAAGGCGGCUGUCUGGACUGUAACUGACGCUGAGGCGCGAAAGCGUGGGGAGCAAAC
RNAcentral lists this ribosomal RNA (250 nucleotides) under uncultured Eubacteriales bacterium. Its description in RNAcentral is "uncultured Clostridiales bacterium partial 16S ribosomal RNA". It matches the Rfam family "Bacterial small subunit ribosomal RNA", at positions 524 to 773 of the family's 1533-position model. Lineage: Bacteria; Bacillati; Bacillota; Clostridia; Eubacteriales. The record is from RNAcentral.